GACGUAGGGCGCGAGCGUUGUCCGGAAUUAUUGGGCGUAAAGAGCUCGUAGGCGGUCUGUUGCGUCCGCUGUGAAAUCUCGGGGCUUAACCCCGAGCCUGCAGUGGAUACGGGCAGACUAGAGGUAGGUAGGGGAGAAUGGAAUUCCCGGUGUAGCGGUGAAAUGCGCAGAUAUCGGGAGGAACACCGGCGGCGAAGGCGGUUCUCUGGGCCUUACCUGACGCUGAGGAGCGAAAGCGUGGGGAGCGAACAGG
This 253-nucleotide ribosomal RNA is filed under the name uncultured bacterium. Its description in RNAcentral is "partial 16S ribosomal RNA". It matches the Rfam family "Bacterial small subunit ribosomal RNA", at positions 524 to 776 of the family's 1533-position model. The record is from RNAcentral.